RNAcentral lists this ribosomal RNA (985 nucleotides) under uncultured bacterium. Its description in RNAcentral is "bacterial SSU rRNA". It matches the Rfam family "Bacterial small subunit ribosomal RNA", at positions 421 to 1397 of the family's 1533-position model. The record is from RNAcentral.
GGGUGUAAAGCACUUUAAGCAGUGAAGAAGACUCCUCGGGUUAAUACCCGUGGACGAUGACAUUAGCUGCAGAAUAAGCACCGGCUAACUCUGUGCCAGCAGCCGCGGUAAUACAGAGAGUGCAAGCGUUAAUCGGAAUUACUGGGCGUAAAGCGAGCGUAGGUGGCUUGAUAAGUCAGAUGUGAAAUCCCCGGGCUUAACCUGGGAACUGCAUCUGAAACUGUUAGGCUAGAGUAGGUGAGAGGAAGGUAGAAUUCCAGGUGUAGCGGUGAAAUGCGUAGAGAUCUGGAGGAAUACCGAUGGCGAAGGCAGCCUUCUGGCAUUAUACUGACACUGAGGCUCGAAAGCGUGGGUAGCAAACAGGAUUAGAUACCCUGGUAGUCCACGCCGUAAACGAUGUCUACUAGUCGUUGGGUCCCUUGAGGACUUAGUGACGCAGCUAACGCAAUAAGUAGACCGCCUGGGGAGUACGGCCGCAAGGUUAAAACUCAAAUGAAUUGACGGGGGCCCGCACAAGCGGUGGAGCAUGUGGUUUAAUUCGAUGCAACGCGAAGAACCUUACCUGGUCUUGACAUAUCUAGAAUCCUGCAGAGAUGCGGGAGUGCCUUCGGGAAUUAGAAUACAGGUGCUGCAUGGCUGUCGUCAGCUCGUGUCGUGAGAUGUUGGGUUAAGUCCCGCAACGAGCGCAACCCUUGUCCUUAGUUACCAGCGGGUUAAGCCGGGAACUCUAAGGAUACUGCCAGUGACAAACUGGAGGAAGGCGGGGACGACGUCAAGUCAUCAUGGCCCUUACGACCAGGGCUACACACGUGCUACAAUGGUAGGUACAGAGGGCAGCUACACAGCGAUGUGAUGCGAAUCUCAAAAAGCCUAUCGUAGUCCAGAUUGGAGUCUGCAACUCGACUCCAUGAAGUAGGAAUCGCUAGUAAUCGCGGAUCAGAAUGCCGCGGUGAAUACGUUCCCGGGCCUUGUACACACCGCCCGC